UUUGAAAUUUAUAUUUUAGUAAAAAAGCUAAAAUUAUCUAUAGGGACGAGAAGACCCUAUCAAGUUUUACAAUCCAGAAUUUAUUUUCAAAUUAAAUUUUAAAUUGUUUUGCUGGGGCAGCAGAUAAAAAUUUUUUAUUUUAAAAUUAUGAUAAAUAAAUCUUGAAAAAUCAAAAAAUUUUUAAUUAAAAAUAAAUUACUGUAGGGAUAACAGCAUAAUUUUUUUAGAGAGUUCUUAUCAUCAAAAAAGUUUGUGACCUCGAUGUUGGAUUAAAAUUCCUAAUUCGUGCAAUAAUGAAAUAA
RNAcentral lists this ribosomal RNA (302 nucleotides) under Paravaejovis confusus. Its description in RNAcentral is "partial 16S ribosomal RNA". The record is from RNAcentral. Lineage: Eukaryota; Metazoa; Arthropoda; Arachnida; Scorpiones; Vaejovidae.